AGUGAACGCUAGUGGCGUGCUUAACACAUGCAAGUCGAACGGACGAUAUUUGUGCUUGCACAAAUAAAGUUAGUGGCAAACGGGUGAGUAAUACAUGAGAAUUUUCCUUGCAGUACGGAAUAACUAUUGGAAACAGUAGCUAAUACCGUAUAUUGCCGAGAGGUGAAAGAUUUAUCGCUGCAAGAUAAGCCCAUGCAAGAUUAGCUUGUUGGUAAGGUAAUGGCUUACCAAGGCUACGAUCUUUAGCUGGUUUGAGAGGAUGAUCAGCCACACUGGAACUUAGACACGGUCCAGACUCCUACGGGAGGCAGCAGUGAGGAAUAUUGGACAAUAGGCGAAAGCCUGAUCCAGCGACGUCACGUGAAUGAUGAAGGCCUGAAAUAGGUUGUAAACUUCUUUUACUGAGUAAUGAAUACUGACAACGCAGUAAAAAAGUAUCGGCUAACUCCGUGCCAGCCGCCGCAGUAAAAC
RNAcentral lists this ribosomal RNA (471 nucleotides) under uncultured bacterium. RNAcentral's name for it is "bacterial SSU rRNA". It matches the Rfam family "Bacterial small subunit ribosomal RNA", at positions 29 to 526 of the family's 1533-position model. The record is from RNAcentral.